RNAcentral lists this ribosomal RNA (800 nucleotides) under uncultured bacterium. RNAcentral's name for it is "bacterial SSU rRNA". It matches the Rfam family "Bacterial small subunit ribosomal RNA", at positions 8 to 794 of the family's 1533-position model. The record is from RNAcentral.
AGAGUUUGAUCCUGGCUCAGGACGAACGCUGGCGGCGUGCUUAACACAUGCAAGUGGUGCGACGAACCAGGGCUUGCCCUGGGGCAAAGCCGCGAACGGGUGAGUAACACGUGAGUAAUCUGCCCCGAUGACCGGGACAACCCGAGGAAACUCGGGCUAAUACCGGAUGUGGUGCAAAGGCUCAAGCCUUUGUACUAAAGGAAGCUUCGGCCUCCGCAUUGGGAGGAGCUCGCGGCCCAUUAGCUUGUUGGUGGGGUAACGGCCUACCAAGGCAACGAUGGGUAGCUGGUCUGAGAGGACGAUCAGCCACACUGGGACUGAGACACGGCCCAGACUCCUACGGGAGGCAGCAGUGGGGAAUCUUGCGCAAUGCGCGAAAGCGUGACGCAGCAACGCCGCGUGGGGGAAGACGGCCUUCGGGUUGUAAACCCCUUUCAGGAGGGACGAAGGUUCGCCGGUGAAUAGCCGUGCGGAUUGACGGUACCUCCUCAAGAAGCUCCGGCUAACUACGUGCCAGCAGCCGCGGUAAUACGUAGGGAGCAAGCGUUGUCCGGAAUCAUUGGGCGUAAAGCGCGCGUAGGUGGCUUCGUAAGUCCGUUGUGAAAGUCAAAGGCUCAACCUUUGAAAGCCGAUGGAUACUGUGAAGCUAGAGUACGGAAGAGGCGAGUGGAAUUCCUGGUGUAGCGGUGGAAUGCGCAGAUAUCAGGAGGAACACCAAUAGCGAAGGCAGCUCGCUGGGACGUUACUGACACUGAGGCGCGAAAGCGUGGGGAGCGAACAGGAUUAGAUACCCUGGUAGU